AGCAGUCGCCGCGGGAAUACGAAGGUCCCAAGCGUUGCUCGGAAUCACUGGGCGUAAAGGGAGCGUAGGCGGCGUGGUAAGUCAGAUGUGAAAUCCCGGGGCUCAACCCCGGAACUGCAUCCGAUACUGCCAUGCUUGAGGGUUGGAGAGGUAGCUGGAAUUCUUGGUGUAGCAGUGAAAUGCGUGGAUAUCAAGAGGAACACUCGUGGCGAAGGCGAGCUACUGGACAACAUCUGACGCUGAGGCUCGAAGGCCAGGGUAGCGAAAGGGAUUAGAUACCCCCGUAGUCCCUGUCUCUUAUAC
This 303-nucleotide ribosomal RNA is filed under the name uncultured bacterium. RNAcentral describes it as "partial 16S ribosomal RNA". It matches the Rfam family "Bacterial small subunit ribosomal RNA", at positions 507 to 807 of the family's 1533-position model. The record is from RNAcentral.